UCUUACAUGGUUCCCAGAGCACUGCCAGGUAUGACCUAAAAUUUCUAACUUAGAAAAAAGGCAUCAAAUGAUUAUGGUAGCUACAGUAUUUUUCAGUAUUACAAAGAAUGAUUUAGUCCUUUGGGUGUUUUUUUCUCUGUAGGUUAAGUCCAAAUUUCUGAUCUCUGGGGAUUUGUUUCUAUACCUCCAAUCUCCAGGUUGGGAGUAAAGGACCCUAAUUUCUAUGUGGGAAACUUGAAAACAACUUUACUCGUUCCAUUUUCAUCAUGUGACCUCAAUCUUCAUUGAAUUUCAUCAUAGUCUCCUUGGUAUUAUUACUUAAAACACUUAAGUACUAAGCAUUUAUAUGAUGGGAAAAUGCCACUGAAAAGACAGUGCCCCAAUACCAUGUAGAUUGUCCUUUAAGUUCCAGAACAAAACUAAUUCAAAUAAAUCAAAUUGAUGAUUUUA
Suncus etruscus (white-toothed pygmy shrew) is the source of this 450-nucleotide long non-coding RNA. RefSeq lists it as uncharacterized. The record is from RefSeq and is a predicted model, not a curated record. The transcript has 2 exons. Lineage: Eukaryota; Metazoa; Chordata; Mammalia; Eulipotyphla; Soricidae.